Molecule: transfer RNA, 76 nt
Filed under: Deltaproteobacteria bacterium
Lineage: Bacteria; Pseudomonadati; Myxococcota; Myxococcia
Also listed under: 1 other name
Description: tRNA-Val
Rfam family: tRNA
About the family: Transfer RNA (tRNA) molecules are approximately 80 nucleotides in length. Their secondary structure includes four short double-helical elements and three loops (D, anti-codon, and T loops). Further hydrogen bonds mediate the characteristic L-shaped molecular structure. tRNAs have two regions of fundamental functional importance: the anti-codon, which is responsible for specific mRNA codon recognition, and the 3' end, to which the tRNAs corresponding amino acid is attached (by aminoacyl-tRNA synthetases). tRNAs cope with the degeneracy of the genetic code in two manners: having more than one tRNA (with a specific anti-codon) for a particular amino acid; and 'wobble' base-pairing, i.e. permitting non-standard base-pairing at the 3rd anti-codon position.
Source: RNAcentral
GCGGGCUUAGCUCAGUUGGUAGAGCAUCGCCUUUACAUGGCGAGUGUCUCCGGUUCGAGCCCGGAAGCCCGUACCA